Acanthosepion pharaonis is the source of this 111-nucleotide non-coding RNA. The record is from the annotation of a GenBank genome assembly. Lineage: Eukaryota; Metazoa; Mollusca; Cephalopoda; Sepiida; Sepiidae.
CAGUCACAUUAGGUUGAAAAACCGAUUCUUAUACGAUCACCGAAGUUAAGCAACGUCGAGCCUGGUCAGUAUCUAGAUGGGUGACCGCUUACGAAUACCAGGUGCCGUAAG